This 534-nucleotide long non-coding RNA is filed under the name Capsicum annuum. Its description in RNAcentral is "long non-coding RNA (CANN_LNC000563)". Lineage: Eukaryota; Viridiplantae; Streptophyta; Magnoliopsida; Solanales; Solanaceae. The record is from RNAcentral.
CCCAUGUUUUAGAUUCUUUCAGAUAGUCAGACUUGUUUCCAGUUUUAUUAGCAAUUAAGACAUAUUGAGUAUUGUUUAGUAUUUCAUCUUAACAGAACUUUUAUCAGCUCCGCUUCCAUAUAUGAUAUUUUAUUAUUAUUUUAUUCAGUGCUCAUAACAGAUGCCAGAUCAUGGAUUAACUUAGGGUUUUUUUGGCCUUAAGUAUAAUGUUACGACUAGGGGGUUGUCUCGGAUCAUGACAAAACUUAGUGUCAAAGCCUAAGGUUUUAAAGUAUCAUAGGGUGUCUGAAAGACGCAUUGAAUAGAGUCUUGUGUAUGGGUGUAAAGCAAGUCAUAUUUAUGUGCUAAAGGCUACGAGACGUUUUAGGAAAGUUUCCCUUUUUCAGUAUACAUGUCAUGCAAAAGACCGUGAGCUCUAUUUAAUUUCCUUUUCUUACUCGUCCUUCAUCCGAAUACAGAAAAUGACUCCCAAAAAAAAUAACGUUAGAAGGAAUGAGGAUCAACCCGCACCACCUGUUCAAGAAGACCCUCUGA